AGGAUUUAGGACUGAAGGUACUCUUGACAUGAUGAUAGCAAAAUAUUGAGUUAUACCAGACCUUCAUGAGUAAAGAUUUAUCAGGUAUAUGGUAGCCCAAAUAGCAAGAAUUUCCUAUUUUCUAUGUUCAAAAAGCAAGCUUUUCAGCAACAUCAUGUUUUUUUAGUCUGUUUGGCAUCAUUGUUGGAGUUGUUUGUUGAAAAAUGCACCCCCUUAAAUGUUUUAGUUAUAGGCUAUUAAAAAUUGAUUUUAAGUUAAAUUUGAUAUGUUUACAUUUUCAAACCGCUUUUUCCACUAGCAUAAAAAAUGAUUCUUUUUCAAAAAAAAAAAAGUUUUAAAU
Molecule: unclassified non-coding RNA, 340 nt
Filed under: Hevea brasiliensis (rubber tree)
Lineage: Eukaryota; Viridiplantae; Streptophyta; Magnoliopsida; Malpighiales; Euphorbiaceae
Source: RNAcentral